Molecule: non-coding RNA, 1254 nt
Organism: Podarcis lilfordi (Lilford's wall lizard)
Lineage: Eukaryota; Metazoa; Chordata; Lepidosauria; Squamata; Lacertidae
Source: the annotation of a GenBank genome assembly
GAAGAGGUAACUUGGAAGCAGAAAAGCAGCACAGCUAUCUUAUCUGACCAAGAAAUGAACAAGUAGGAAGCAAGACGUCUCUGAGCAUACAUCAGGUUUCAGUUUAGGUGCAAAAACGGUGACUCCUGUUUAUACUGAAAAUAAAAUUCCCGCACCAGUGAAGGAAACGGUGAAGCUGGCAUUCUUUCCUAUAAUUUUGAAGGAAAAAGUGACCCUUUGGCAGCCAGCCAUUUCUUAGGAAACACGGGGGUGGGGGGUUGAUUCCUUUCUUGUAAAUGGAGCUUUACACUGUUUACUCAGAAGGAAACCCCACUGUAUUCAACGGUGCUUACUCCCAAGUAACUGGGUCAAGAAAGGGCAGCCUUACACUGCCACCCAAAGCAUUUUCAUUCAGAAGCCAGUCCCACCGAGUACAAUGGGGUUUAUUUUGUUUAAUAUUCUGUUGGGAGCAGCCCAGAGUGGCUGAGGAAACCCAGCCAGAUGGGUGAGGUAUAAAUAAAAAAAAUUGUUUAUUAUUAUUAUUUACUUUCUGGUAUGAUCCUGAUCAUUCUCACAGUUGUUGUUAUUGUUGUUGUUGUUAUAUCCCACCUUCCCAUCCUCCAACAGUGACUCAAGGCAGCUUACUGCUACACUUCUAUUUCAUUUUAUUAAUCUGUGGAAGGUGUGUCGCACAUGAUCCCUUCCUCACACGUUUCCUCCCUCACAACAAUCCUGUGAGGUAGGAUAAGCGGUUGCCAUUAGCUUGAGGUGACCCAUGGGGACAGGACGUUUCUGUGCAAGAGAGAGACGCUCCCUGAUGUAGAAUAAAACAGCCUUAUUUUUCUAGAUUCAACCAGGGAGAAGGGUCGAUGGAAGAUGAUUGGAAAAAAUUCAAAAUAUAUCUUCAAAAGUACUGCAAUAUAAAAGAAUGUUAGAAGGAGGUUGGAAAAAGAAUAUUAGGUCGUUCUGGUAGAUAUGAUAUAAUGGACUAAGCAAAAAUGAGUUGAUGAAAUCGAUGAAUUAGAGGAGGUCUAAUCACAUUAUUUUAAUUUUAAAAUACGUAAAUGAAAAUAAGGUUAGAAGGAUUUGCUGGAAACACGAUCUGAACAAGAAUACAAAACUGGGAGGUGAGAGGAGGUCAUGGAAAUAAGUAAAGGGAAAAGGCUAUGUAAAGGUUUAAUCUGUUUUUGUUUUAUUUUAACUUAAUGUAUUUUUAUAUUUUUUGUCAAGUUUUCUUUUUUAUUCUAUCCUAUUGUUCUUUUUUUUUACUUGUUU